Molecule: transfer RNA, 85 nt
Filed under: Erysipelotrichaceae bacterium
Lineage: Bacteria; Bacillati; Bacillota; Erysipelotrichia; Erysipelotrichales; Erysipelotrichaceae
Description: tRNA-Leu
Rfam family: tRNA
About the family: Transfer RNA (tRNA) molecules are approximately 80 nucleotides in length. Their secondary structure includes four short double-helical elements and three loops (D, anti-codon, and T loops).
Source: RNAcentral
GCGGAUGUGGCGGAACUGGUAGACGCGCAUGAUUCAGGUUCAUGUGGGGCGACCUGUGCAGGUUCAAGUCCUGUCAUCCGCACCA